CAAUUGCGCCUGUUCCCGUAUCUUCUAAUCACUUCCUAUCUCAACCCAAAACCCUGGAAAAACAAAAACAAAAACAAAAACCGAAUAAAGUCAGAGAGAGAGAGAGAGAGAGAGAGAGAGAGAUUCUGGGAUCAUCGUUUUCCACUUAUUCGUAUUUGAAUGGAGGGUCAAGAAGUUAUGGAGGGAGUGAGAGAGGUGGGUGUAGACCUUCUUGAGGAUUUAGAUUCGUAUUUAGAGGAUAUCAACAACCGAUUAACAAUUUCGAGGAUGGUUAAUGACUCUGUUAUCAAGGGGAUGGUAAAAGCAGUUCAACAAUUGGCGGCCGAGGAAAUCGCCGCCAAAGAAAUGGAGGUUGCCGUCCUAAAGGAGAAAUUGCAUUUUCUCCAACUGCAUGUUGAUAAAUGCGAGACUAUGUUUGGAAAAUAUAGAAAGCUUAACUUUUGUUUAGAGUUGUUUUUGUCUUUUCUUAGCUUUUCUCAGUGUUUGGUAAAAAAAAUUCUUUUUCCUGCUUGUAUUGACCAUAGAAACCGAAAAAACUAAGAGAUAUAGUCCCCACCCUUUGGACUAGUUCGAUUAAGUGUAAAAAAAUAUAUCCAAACUUUCCUAUUUUUUACUUUUUAGAGAAUAUGUUUAUCUGGUCCAUUUUGAACCGAAAAGUAAUGAGUUUUUUUAUCAGAAGCUAUGGAAAAGUUAAAUAAAGACAAAAACAUGUUGCGUAAAACUUUCUUUUUAGACAUUCCAAACAUAACCCAUUAUUAGGGUCUUCGGUAAUAUACCAUGAGCCUACUCGGAAUGUGGGAAAAGGAUUGUGUUCUGAUGCUUUAGUGGAACAUGAGAGAAUCACCAUGUAGUGACAACACACGAGAAAGAGAUCGAUAUCAUAAGAUUUGGUUGGGGUGGGUGGAAUUCUCCAUUAGUAGGCAUAUGAAAGCUUGUGGAGAUUAACGGCUCGAAUGCGAAGUAUUGCGUGAAAAUGAUAUUGGAGAUUCCUUGAACCUCGGAAAAAAGGGAAAUCAGGAUUAUUGAUUGAAGCAGGGAAAAGAUUAAAAGCAAGAACUCCUUUUACUAGAAACAUCACUGGCCAAAAAGGAGCACUUAGCCCUAGAAUUUUCUGCUGCAAUGGCUAAAGAAAAGGAGAGAUUUGAGCUAGCUUCUCAAGAGACAACAUUAGAAAUACCAGCCAAGUUGGCAAGAAAUUUUAGUUUCUAAAAGAGCGUGGAAGGGUGAGUUAGCUGAGGCACUGGAGCAAGUUAAAGUUCAUGAAGUGGAAACAAACAAAUUCAGUCAAAAGCUUGAACUGAUGGCAAAGGAGUUAUAGGAAGGUGAUGAGCAGGGAGCAGGGAAAUAUGCUUCUUGCUGUUACACGGACGAAGGAAAAUCAUGUUUUAUUGCCUAGAGGGGAAGAUAAUGAUCAAAGGAAUCAAAUGCAAGACAUAACGAACUUCUAAGCUAUGAUUUUGAAUGUUGAGGUUCAGGGUGCCAAAAGAAUAAUUUGAGGUAAUUCUAGUUCCAAAAGACUUUUUAUUUGUAUCUGUAUUAUGAAUAUAUCAAAUAAAUUUGCAUGUGUGCUCUCAAAAUUAGUAUUGUUGUACACCUUUAGGUUUUCACUGAUUGUUGCAACUUUGUUCAAUGUAUUUAGUAUGACAUUAAGCCACACGGCCCUGUCAUCUGUUGUAUCUAUGGAGGUUGGCCUUAAAACAGGUCCAUCCUGCAGUCUUAAUUUUAUUCCCAUCCCCAAAACGGGGAAAAAAAGAAGAAGAAGGAAACAAGAAGAUUGUGGAUUGAAGAGGAGGAAAGAUUAAAGAAAGAGGUCCUUUUACUAGAACUCUAUAGUUUCUAAAAAGCAUGGAAAUAAACUUUAUAAAGGAUGAGUCGGCUGAGGCGCUAGAGCAAGUUGCAGUUCAUGAUGCGGAAACAUAAGCUUAGUAAAAAGCUUGAACAAAUGGCAAAGAAUUUAUAGGGAAGUGAUGAACAGAGAGGUGCGCUUAUUGUUGUUAUAUGGAAGAAGGAAAAUGAUGUUUUCUUGCCUAGAGCAAAGGAAAAAGAGCAAAGGAAGCAAAUGCAAGAAGUAAUGGACUUCCAAAAGCACUGUCUGAUUCUGAAUGUUGAGUAGCUCCGGGUUUCCAAAGAAUAAAUUGAGGAAAAACUUCGAAUUUUCCAAUUCGAACUCUGAAACAAGAAAGGAAAGUGUUAACUGUGGAAGGUGAACAAACAGAGGGUACGUAACAGAUCAGACUGCAAUAACUGAAAAUCCCAGGAAGCCUAAGUGUUGGACUAGCUUAAUUGGCAAUUGUUUCUUGUAGAACAUGAUGUCAGGCAGAGCCAAGUUGAAAGAGCUACAUUGGCUGGAGGAGAAGGCCAGAGCAAAUGGGGCAUUAGAGAGGAAUAGGAGAACUGCAGAGAAGGAAGGCCCAAAAUAAGGCCACCACAAAAGUAAGCUGAACAGUAAGAGAAGUUGACUCCCGUAAACUUUAUUAUUAAUGCUCUUUAGGUUCAUUCUGAUGGCUGUGGAUUUCAAACGAACAGAAUUAACAUCAGGACUCGACCUGGGUAGCUCAAAUUUAGAUUUGAUAGUGAUUUGAAUCUAUCGUGUUAAGGGAGCUAGUCAUACAAUGAUCCCAGUGAAAUACAUCUGUUCUACUUUUUUAAUCAUCUUCCAAUCUAAUUUCACAAACCAUGUAUUAACUACACUUCUGACAUUAUUGUUAGUAUUAGACAUCAAAUCCCUUCAUUUGAAGGCCUGGUCAAUCCAAACGAAGCCUUAAUCUAUUUAAGCACUAGCAGUAACGAGGAAGAAGCACAUGCGUAUCACUCUUGCCUGAAGUUAUUUUUUGUUUUCAUAUUCCUUAAAAAUGAAGAAAAUAGCGUUUGUGCCGGAGGGGGAGAAGAAGCAGAGAAAGAAGGCAGCUGCUGCAAAAUACCCAUUUGUAAAUACCAAGGAGCUGGAAAUCAAAGAUAGUCCUUUGACUAUAACAAAACAGCCUUAAAAAACAUUCCAGUUCACUAAGAGCAAGACAAAUCUCUCUCCACCUCUUCGCAACAGGCGUAGAAGAAGGAUUACGCAGCACAUUUUGGUACUUCUUACGGCUGUGUUUGUUCUGGCCCUUUUCUUGUUGGGUAACAUUGGCUUCUAUUCCAACCUUCGGCGCAACACUGAGAUACAAAGCCGAAGGUAUGGAUUCUGAAUACUUGUGCGAAUUAGUUGGCAAUCAAGUGGGGUUAGGUGGGACAAGAUGAGAUAGACAAGUGAGGUAAACGUCGUAUAUUGAAGAAUGGAGUGUCGUAAGAUGUCAAAAGAAUGCAAUAGAGAAAAAUAUAUGGCAGGGUUACCGACUCUUAACUUGUCAAAGCGAGCUCAUUCAUUGUCUAUUCGCUACUUGGUUUCUUCUCCUUUUGUUUGCUUUCAGUUGUAAAUGGUUUUCUAUUUCACAAGCAUUCAGUAUCUAAGUUCUGCUACGUACUAUUUGAAUUCUGACCCACAACAGAAUUAUUUCGGCGUUGCUCCAGAGCGGUAAUUGAAUUCUGAACCACAACUGAAUUAUUUCAGCGUUGCUCCAGAGUGGUAUCAUUGCUGAUUCCUGGCAGUGUUUUGCCUUUCUCUCAUUUGCAAACGGAAGAUCUUGGAAUUUGAAAAUCCUUGGCCAGUUCAUGAUGGUUUUGCAGGAACAUGGGAGCCUAGUGUGCUUAAAGCACGACAGGAGCACCUGUGACAUGUGAUAGGCGCCUAAAUGUUCAUAUUAGCGCCCCCUAAUUUAUCCUUGUUAAGUCCAUUUAUAUUGUUACUUGGAGAUUAGUGAUUCAUUUCUCGUGUUUGUAAGUUUAACAUUUUAAUGAGUUAAAGUGCAAACUUUAAUAAGCUUGGGGGCCCGCUCGUAGCAUGUGCUAAGCUUUGAGGACCUGGAGUGCAUUAACUCCAUUAUUGGCGAAAAUCGUGAGCGAGGGCCAGAGGAAAAGGAGGCUUUGUUUUCCUGGCAACAAAUUUAACCAAAGAAGAGGGCUUGCUUUGAGGGACGGCAUAUAAAAGGAGCAAUAUACGCACAUGACGAGACCACGCUUGGAGACCAUUCGGUUGAGAGCAGAUUAGAAAGAAAAAGCUGUGUUUCCAUGGCCGGCUAAACCCAUUGUCUAGGGGGGCGAUGAAACUUCGCGCCAAGUAACUUCGUUUAUGCCUACGUUUUGGAUUAUUAUUCGAGUUUAUUGUAAAACUCAGAACCCUUUUCAUUGCAAUUGAAUGAAUUGAUUUUAAAUCUUCCUAU
Long non-coding RNA from Rhododendron vialii, 4256 nucleotides. RefSeq lists it as uncharacterized. The transcript is spliced from 3 exons. NCBI's taxonomy places the organism in Eukaryota, Viridiplantae, Streptophyta, Magnoliopsida, Ericales, Ericaceae. The record is from RefSeq and is a predicted model, not a curated record.